This is a long non-coding RNA of Etheostoma spectabile (orangethroat darter), 70 nucleotides long. RefSeq lists it as uncharacterized. The record is from RefSeq and is a predicted model, not a curated record. The transcript is spliced from 3 exons. Lineage: Eukaryota; Metazoa; Chordata; Actinopteri; Perciformes; Percidae.
UGUACAUACUUAAAAGGUCAAGGUAAACUUUAUUAUCCACAAGUAGGAAAUUCCUGUUGUCAUCAUUACA